GAAUCUUUGCCUCCUUGCACCCCCUGGAAGACGCGGCACAGUGGUCCCACAAGCAGGACCCACCUCGAGGAUGUGGCGAUGUGGCCCACCAGCGGCUGCGUGGCCCACAUGGUGAUGCCCGACCUUUUUUUUUUCUGGCAUGGCCAGCCUUUUAUUUUUGUGCGCGUGGUGAUAUUUCUGUUAUGGCAAUAAAAAUCGCUCCCGCAGGGAGCAUCGAACCCACGACCUGCCGCACAUUAGCUUAGAAGUCUAACCACUGGACUAC
This 265-nucleotide long non-coding RNA is filed under the name Sorghum bicolor (sorghum). RNAcentral's name for it is "long non-coding RNA (SBIC_LNC002596)". The record is from RNAcentral. Lineage: Eukaryota; Viridiplantae; Streptophyta; Magnoliopsida; Poales; Poaceae.